RNAcentral lists this ribosomal RNA (1155 nucleotides) under Triticum aestivum (bread wheat). RNAcentral's name for it is "partial small subunit ribosomal RNA". Lineage: Eukaryota; Viridiplantae; Streptophyta; Magnoliopsida; Poales; Poaceae. The record is from RNAcentral.
AUGUCCCCGGCGAUCGCGCUUCGGCGCGCGGCCGCGUGGCUGCUCCGGGGAGCCGCCGGCGCCGGCGCGCCGAGGGCCGCGUCCUCCGCCGCGCUGCCGGGCAUGGGCGGGGCCCUGCUGUCUCCCGCGCGCGGAUUGCAGGGGAGGGACGCGGCCGGGUUCCUGGGGAUCUGGGGAGGUCCCGCGGCGGGCGGCGGCGGCGGGUCCUGGUGGUUCCGGUGCGCCGCGAGCAGCGUGCCCAGGCCGGGCCUGCUGGUGGAGCAGCUGCUCGUCGGCGGCGGGCGCUCCUUCGCCACCGGUGCCGCCCCGGAAGAGGUGUCCUUCAGCCCGGCCGCCCGUGAGGUGGAUGUCUCGCCGCCUGAGAAGUCCGUAGGCACCUCAGAUAAGACUAUGUUAGGAGAUAGGUCCUUGAAGCUUGUUUCAGGGGUAUGUUAUCUACCACAUCCGGAUAAGGAAGAAACUGGUGGUGAGGAUGCACAUUUUAUUUGGGAUGAACAGGCUAUAGGCAUAGCUGAUGGCGUUGGUGGUUGGGCAAGCUACGGUAUUGAUGCAGGUCAAUAUGCUAGAGAUAUUAUGUCUAAUGCAGUAACCGCAAUAGAAGAAGAGCCAAAAGAUUCAAUUGAUCUUACAAGGGUACUAGAGAAGGCCCAUAGUAGCACAACAGUGCCGGGUUCAUCGACCGCAUGUAUCAUUGCUUUAACAAAUCAGGGAAUACAAGCAAUUAAUCUUGGUGACAGUGGCUUUAUAGUCAUCCGAGAUGGCUGCACAUUGUGUAGGUCACCUGUACAACAACAUGAUUUCAAUUUCUCCUACCAACUUCAGAGUGGCAACUCGAGUGACUUGCCUAAUGCUGCACAGGUCUUCAAGGUACCCGUCGCGUCUGGUGAUGUAAUUGUCGCUGGAACAGAUGGGUUGUUCGAUAACUUGUACAACAACGAUAUAACAGCUGUAGUGGUCCACGCAACCAGAGCUGGCCUGGAUCCUCAAGUAACAGCCCAGAAGAUAGCGGCACUCGCACGCCAGCGGGCACAGGACAAGAACAGGCCGACGCCGUUUUCGACCGCGGCCCAAGACGCUGGGUACCGGUACUACGGCGGGAAGCUGGACGACAUCACCGUCGUGGUCUCGUACGUAACUGCCUUUGGCAACUCGUAG